RNAcentral lists this ribosomal RNA (200 nucleotides) under uncultured bacterium. RNAcentral describes it as "partial 16S ribosomal RNA". It matches the Rfam family "Bacterial small subunit ribosomal RNA", at positions 30 to 228 of the family's 1533-position model. The record is from RNAcentral.
AUUGAACGCUGGCGGCGUGCCUAACACAUGCAAGUCGAGCGGUAACAGGUGUAGCAAUACAUGCUGACGAGCGGCGGACGGGUGAGUAACGCUUGGGAAUCUGCCUGAUAGUGGGGGGACAACCCGGGGAAACUCGGGCUAAUACCGCAUACGCACUACGGUGGAAAGCCGGGACCGCAAGGCCUGGCGCUAUCAGAUGA